RNAcentral lists this ribosomal RNA (441 nucleotides) under uncultured bacterium. RNAcentral's name for it is "partial 16S ribosomal RNA". It matches the Rfam family "Bacterial small subunit ribosomal RNA", at positions 338 to 795 of the family's 1533-position model. The record is from RNAcentral.
CCUACGGGAGGCAGCAGUGGGGGAUAUUGCACAAUGGGGGGAACCCUGAUGCAGCGACGCCGCGUGGGUGAAGGAGCGUUUCGGCGCGUAAAGCCCUAUCGGCAGGGAAGAAGGAGGACGGUACCUGACUAAGAAGCCCCGGCUAACUACGUGCCAGCAGCCGCGGUAAUACGUAGGGGGCAAGCGUUAUCCGGAUGUACUGGGUGUAAAGGGGGCGCAGACGGCAGCGCAAGCCAGGAGUGAACGCCGGGGGCCCAACCCCGGGACUGCUCUUGGAACUGCGCGGCUGGAGUGCAGGAGGGGCAGGCGGAAUUCCUGGUGUAGCGGUGAAAUGCGUAGAUAUCAGGAGGAACACCGGUGGCGAAGGCGGCCUGCUGGACUGCGACUGACGUUGAGGCCCGAAAGCGUGGGGAGCAAACAGGAUUAGAUACCCGAGUAGUC